This is a non-coding RNA of Drosophila suzukii, 808 nucleotides long. The record is from RefSeq and is a predicted model, not a curated record. Lineage: Eukaryota; Metazoa; Arthropoda; Insecta; Diptera; Drosophilidae.
CUGCAGCGGUCAGUUGGUUGGCAAGUCAUUCCGAUUCUCAGUCGGUCAGUUGUAUGUUUAAGCUGGACUCGCAUUUGCGAAUAAUUAAAUGUUAAUUGAGUAACAACAAAGGCUCGUAAUGCAAUUGCUUUCCCAAUUGACAAACGAAAUUAAAAUUAUGGCCAUGACGAGGCGCUGAAAUCAAAACUGCAGUGGCAAUUUAUUUAACGCGGCCAAAUCAAUAAAUCGCCAUAUGAAUAAAUUAAAGCAAAAUGUGGUUGGCAUUAAACAAUUAAGAAUUACAUUUAGGACUCUGAUAGUGCAAUUAACACUAUCCUUUGUAAGACGAUCUGAAAUCGAAUCGCAUUGGAAAACUCCCCCGAGAUGCAUGAUGGACUGCCACUUAUCGCGAAGAGAGCGACUAAGGGGGAAUGUCGAACAUUAAUUGGAAGUUAAAAUCCAAGCCCGCAGGGGCAGGAAACGGCAAUAAUCAAUUACGAUGGCGGUGGCAUUGCUUAUGACCAUGGACCAAAAGGCCAGGAGUAACUGCAGCUCGGAUGAACUUAUCGUUGACAAUGAACUCGCCAACCAAUCGCAGCAUUAGCAGCAACAUCCUUUGUUUAUGACCCUAAGCUUCUCAUCACUGAUACAAAACACUUAAAAAAAUAUACCAGAGCCACACCAGCCCCCUAUAACAACGUAUAGUAACAGAGGCCAUAUCAGCAGCUCCAACACCAACAGCAGCAUUGUCCAUGGAUGGGCACAGAUGGAGAUGGGGCAAAAGAAUAAUCAUAAUCAUAAAAGUUAUACACCCAACAUGCUAUUACAU